UAAACGGGAGCGAUGGUGGAUCAGAUU
This 27-nucleotide non-coding RNA is filed under the name Bombyx mori (domestic silkworm). The record is from RNAcentral. Lineage: Eukaryota; Metazoa; Arthropoda; Insecta; Lepidoptera; Bombycidae.